Molecule: ribosomal RNA, 191 nt
Filed under: uncultured bacterium
Lineage: Bacteria
Description: partial 16S ribosomal RNA
Rfam family: Bacterial small subunit ribosomal RNA
Source: RNAcentral
AACCCGCCUGCAUGAAGUUGGAAUCACUAGUAAUCGCGGAUCAGCAUGCCGCGGUGAAUGCGUUCUCGGGCCUUGUACACACCGCCGUCACACCAUGAGAGUCGGGAACACCCGAAGUCCGUAGCCUAACCGCAAGGGGGGCGCGGCCGAAGGUGGGCUCGAUAAUUGGGGUGAAGUCGUAACAAGGUAAC